GAUGAACGCUGGCGGCGUGCCUAAUACAUGCAAGUCGAGCGAACGGACGAGAAGCUUGCUUCUCUGCUGUUAGCGGCGGACGGGUGAGUAACACGUGGAUAACCUACUUCUAUUACUGGGAUAACUUCGGAAAACCGGAUCUACUACCGGCUAAUAUUUUGAACCGCUUGUUUCAAAAGUUAAUGCCGGUCUUCCUGUCUCUUUUAGCUGGAUCCGCGCUGCAUUAGCUAGUUGGUAAGGUACCGCCUUACCAAGGCAACGAUGCAUAGCCGACCUGAGAGGGUGAUCGGCCACACUGGAACUGAGACACGGUCCAGACUCCUACGGGAGGCAGCAGUAGGGAAUAUUCGGCAAUGGGCGAAAGCCUGACGGAGCAACGCCGCGUGAGUGAUGAAGGUCUUCGGAUCGUAAAACUCUGUUAUUAGGGAAGAACAGAUGUGUAAGUAACUGUGCACAUCUUGACGGUACCUAAUCAGAAAGCAACGGCUAACUACGUG
RNAcentral lists this ribosomal RNA (497 nucleotides) under uncultured bacterium. RNAcentral's name for it is "partial 16S ribosomal RNA". It matches the Rfam family "Bacterial small subunit ribosomal RNA", at positions 28 to 507 of the family's 1533-position model. The record is from RNAcentral.